RNAcentral lists this ribosomal RNA (253 nucleotides) under uncultured bacterium. RNAcentral describes it as "partial 16S ribosomal RNA". It matches the Rfam family "Bacterial small subunit ribosomal RNA", at positions 524 to 776 of the family's 1533-position model. The record is from RNAcentral.
UACGUAGGGGGCAAGCGUUGUCCGGAUUUAUUGGGCGUAAAGAGCGUGUAGGCGGCCUGAAAGGUCAGCUGUGAAAACUCGAGGCUCAACCUCGAGACGUCGGUUGAAACCAUCUGGCUAGAGUCCGGAAGAGGAGUGUGGAAUUCCCGGUGUAGCGGUGAAAUGCGCAGAUAUCGGGAGGAACACCGGUGGCGAAGGCGGCAUCCUGGACCGAUACUGACGCUGAGGAGCGAAAGCCAGGGGAGCAAACGGG